GACGAACGCUGGCGGCGUGCUUAACACAUGCAAGUCGAACGGAAAGGCCCUGCUUUUGUGGGGUGCUCGAGUGGCGAACGGGUGAGUAACACGUGAGUAACCUGCCCUUGACUUUGGGAUAACUUCAGGAAACUGGGGCUAAUACCGGAUAGGAGCUCCUGCUGCAUGGUGGGGGUUGGAAAGUUUCGGCGGUUGGGGAUGGACUCGCGGCUUAUCAGCUUGUUGGUGGGGUAGUGGCUUACCAAGGCUUUGACGGGUAGCCGGCCUGAGAGGGUGACCGGCCACAUUGGGACUGAGAUACGGCCCAGACUCCUACGGGAGGCAGCAGUGGAGAAUAUUGCACAAUGGGCGGAAGCCUGAUGCAGCGACGCCGCGUGCGGGAUAACGGCCUUCGGGUUGUAAACCGCUUUCGCCUGUGACGAAGCGUGAGUGACGGUAAUGGGUAAAGAAGCACCGGCUAACUACGUG
This 468-nucleotide ribosomal RNA is filed under the name uncultured bacterium. RNAcentral describes it as "partial 16S ribosomal RNA". It matches the Rfam family "Bacterial small subunit ribosomal RNA", at positions 28 to 507 of the family's 1533-position model. The record is from RNAcentral.